CUCGCAGAUGUAGAGGGACAUUGGGCCGAGGUUGACGAUGUGCUUACUCGACUUGCCCAUAAGCAAGGAGGGGCAUCGGAUUGAGGUCGAUGGUGAUCCUCCUCACAGAUGUAGAAAGAUGUUGAGCUGAGGUCGACGAUGCACUCGCUCGACUUGCCCAUAGGCAAGGAGGGGUAUCAGACUAAGGUUGAUGAUGAUCCUCUAUUGUCCUCCUCACGGAUGUAAAGAGAUGUUAGGCCGAGGUUGACGAUGCGCUCCC
RNAcentral lists this long non-coding RNA (259 nucleotides) under Elaeis guineensis (African oil palm). Its description in RNAcentral is "long non-coding RNA (EGUI_LNC019703)". The record is from RNAcentral. Lineage: Eukaryota; Viridiplantae; Streptophyta; Magnoliopsida; Arecales; Arecaceae.